This 254-nucleotide ribosomal RNA is filed under the name uncultured bacterium. RNAcentral describes it as "partial 16S ribosomal RNA". It matches the Rfam family "Bacterial small subunit ribosomal RNA", at positions 524 to 776 of the family's 1533-position model. The record is from RNAcentral.
UACGGGGGGAGCAAGCGUUGUUCGGAUUUACUGGGCGUAAAGGGCGGGUAGGCGGCCAUCUCAAGUCAGUUGUGAAAUCUCUGGGCUUAACCCAGAAAGGUCAACUGAUACUGCGGGGCUAGAGUGCAGAAGGGGCAACUGGAAUUCUCGGUGUAGCGGUGAAAUGCGUAGAUAUCGAGAGGAACACCUGCGGCGAAGGCGGGUUGCUGGGCUGACACUGACGCUGAACUGCGAAAGCUAGGGGAGCGAACGGG